RNAcentral lists this ribosomal RNA (253 nucleotides) under uncultured bacterium. RNAcentral describes it as "partial 16S ribosomal RNA". It matches the Rfam family "Bacterial small subunit ribosomal RNA", at positions 524 to 776 of the family's 1533-position model. The record is from RNAcentral.
UACAGAGGGUGCGAGCGUUAAUCGGAAUUACUGGGCGUAAAGCGCGCGUAGGCGGCUUCUCAAGUCGAUUGUGAAAUCCCCGGGCUUAACCUGGGAACUGCAGUCGAGACUGUCUAGCUAGAGUAUGGGAGAGGGAAGUGGAAUUUCAGGUGUAGCGGUGAAAUGCGUAGAUAUCUGGAGGAACACCGGUGGCGAAGGCGACAUCCUGGACCGGUAUUGACGCUGAGGCGCGAAAGCCAGGGGAGCAAACGGG